UAGAAUCUGAAUUGGAGCUUAAUACUGUGACUAUCUACUUGCACAUGUUGGACUUGGAUAUGACUUAGAAGAAAACUGCGAUUAUGAUCUGUCAUAUGUUUAAACUACCUGAUUUAGCUCUAGGAGCCGUUGUUAUUUUGUAUCGCCGCAGUAUCGGCGUGGUGAAUACCCCAAAUAGUUUAGAUUUCAGUUACGCUCGUGCUGGGAUGCCGAGUGUAUUUUUACAGUAGCAUUCAGACUGUUCUGAACUGUUGGGGGCCGUCGGGGUUGACGGUGAACCCAUAUUGCCGUUUUGGCGUCAGAUUGUGCCGA
Molecule: long non-coding RNA, 312 nt
Filed under: Ananas comosus (pineapple)
Lineage: Eukaryota; Viridiplantae; Streptophyta; Magnoliopsida; Poales; Bromeliaceae
Description: long non-coding RNA (ACOM_LNC016377)
Source: RNAcentral